This 465-nucleotide ribosomal RNA is filed under the name uncultured bacterium. Its description in RNAcentral is "partial 16S ribosomal RNA". It matches the Rfam family "Bacterial small subunit ribosomal RNA", at positions 338 to 795 of the family's 1533-position model. The record is from RNAcentral.
CCUACGGGCGGCAGCAGUAGGGAAUCUUCCACAAUGGGCGAAAGCCUGAUGGAGCAACGCCGCGUGGGUGAAGAAGGUCUUCGGAUCGUAAAACCCUGUUGUUAGAGAAGAAAGUGCGUGAGAGUAACUGUUCACGUUUCGACGGUAUCUAACCAGAAAGCCACGGCUAACUACGUGCCAGCAGCCGCGGUAAUACGUAGGUGGCAAGCGUUAUCCGGAUUUAUUGGGCGUAAAGGGAACGCAGGCGGUCUUUUAAGUCUGAUGUGAAAGCCUUCGGCUUAACCGGAGUAGUGCAUUGGAAACUGGGAGACGUGAGUGCAGAAGAGGAGAGUGGAACGCCAGGUGUAGCGAUGAAAUGCGUAGAUAUAUGGAAGAACACCAGUGGCGAAAGCGGCUCUCUGGUCUGUAACUGACGCUGAGGUUCGAAAGCGUGGGUAGCAAACAGGAUUAGAUACCCCGGUAGUC